UGGAAAUGAUGAAACAGAGAUAACUGGGUGCAUUUGAAUGGUGUGUGAUUUGAGCAUUAUUAAAUUUAUUAUCAAAUUAAGUAAACAUCUAAAAUGGGGGGGGGGGGGUGAAGGGGCGCGUGUGUGUGUGUAUGCAUGCAUGGGUGUAAAUGUAAAGGCUAAGGAAAGGGAGCCCUGACUGACAAUGCAGAUAUCGGAGUGCAUCUGAGGCUGUUGUAAAAAUACAUGUUUAUUACAGCUUUGCCAAUGAUUAUAACUCAGGAACAGCUCACUUACCUGCCUCACACCCCUACAGUCUCUAACAGGUUCAUAAAUGUGGACCUGUGAUCUGAUCCAU
RNAcentral lists this small nucleolar RNA (337 nucleotides) under Phascolarctos cinereus (koala). RNAcentral describes it as "Small Cajal body-specific RNA 7 (ENSPCIG00000033075.1)". It matches the Rfam family "Small Cajal body-specific RNA 7". The record is from Rfam by way of RNAcentral. Lineage: Eukaryota; Metazoa; Chordata; Mammalia; Diprotodontia; Phascolarctidae.